Long non-coding RNA from Mustela erminea (ermine), 903 nucleotides. RefSeq lists it as uncharacterized. The transcript has 3 exons. The record is from RefSeq and is a predicted model, not a curated record. Lineage: Eukaryota; Metazoa; Chordata; Mammalia; Carnivora; Mustelidae.
UGACCUGAACGGAAAUCAAGAGUUGGACGCCUAACCGAUUGUAAAAUUAGCUCUGGCUCAGCAAGACUCCAGCUGGGAACCUGUUGUAUCAUUAUCUUCACUCCAUGGAUGAUAUUUGACUGGCCAGCGGAGUGGACAGACAGGAGGUGCAUUUUACUAAAUCUUCUGAUUUCCCUUUCGUCCACUGAAGUCUGAGGAGAUUGGAAAGAAGAAGAGGGUGGAAUGGAUUGAAGCAGGACUGAGACUGCCAACUGAAUAAAAACUAAAUUACCUGAGGAAAAAGCGAAGCCAUGUUCAAAACUGGGUAUAGAAGCCUUUCGUGUCAUAAUAUUAUAACAAUAUUUAUAAGUUUCCCAGAGUAGAGAAUUAGUGUCUGGUACUAUAUGAGGGCUCUACAUUUGACGUUGACUGAACCCUCCCCUCAGCCCUACCGGGAAUGCAUCAGAGCCACCAUUUACAGAUGAGGAGACCGAGAAAGUCACACAGCUGAGUGGCAGAGAUAAGAUUCAAACCAGGUUUCUCUGAUGUUACAGCUGACUCUCUUUUUAUCCUAUGCUAUGCUCUCGCUAUGAGAAUCAUGUUUGAACACUGUUGCUGGGCAUAAAAAACCUUACAACAUUUUUGUAAUAUAAUUUGUAAGUCAAAAUUAAAUAAAUUCAUUGAACUGGCAAUUCUACUUAGGGUUAUCUAGCCUAAAAAUUACUUGAAUAAGCACUAAGCACUUUUUCUAAUACUGUCAAUUUUCCAUCGAUAAGAACUUCCUUAAAUAAGUAAUGGUAUGUUCAUAGAAGAGAAUACUACACAGACAUUAAAAAGUGAGAAAAAUCUGAAUGGAAAUAUAGAAGAGGGACACCGGGGUGGCUCAGUCAGUUGAGCGUCUGCCUUGGGCUCAGGUCAUGGUCC